ACCUCCGCCAGGCCGGGCCCCACGCCGGCCGCGGAUUGGCUCCCUCCAAGGGCACGCACGCCCGGGGACUCGUUGGCGGCGUGGAGGGGCGCCGGUGGCCACGUUGGUGUCAACCUCCUUCGUGAAGCUCACACCUCCCCCGCCCCGGGAGGGGUUUGCCCGCCACUGUCGCUGAAUGAUUGCAUCAUCGAAAGCAGAAAACCACUUUUGCAUCCUUCGGCCUCUGGCGUGCCUGCCAUGACGUCAUAGCUCUGCGGAGGUGGAAGUUGGGGAGCUUUGAGGUAACUGGAUUCUUGAUCUGAGCGCAGACGUCCUUCCUAACCUCACUGCAUUUGGAGGACCUGGAGGGAGGGUGGGUGAAGGGCAAGGAAAGAGGCAGGAUGAGAGCUUGGCCGCGGUGGCGUCUGAGGGGCCUGAAUGUUUCAAGGCCAGAGCCUGGCGAUCAGGUGGCUCGCUUAGUCCUAAACCAGUCAUCCUUCUCCAGGCCUCCUCUGUAGAAUGGAAACUCUGUACCCCUGCUUGUCUUAGGACCUCAUGGAUCCCAGGGGGACCAAGAGAGGAGCUGAGAAGACAGAGGUAGCUGAGCCUCGGAACAAACUACCUCGUCCAGCACCUUCUCUGCCCACAGACCCUGCCCUCUACUCUGGGCCCUUUCCUUUCUACCGGCGCCCUUCGGAACUGGGCUGCUUCUCCCUGGAUGCUCAACGCCAGUACCAUGGAGAUGCCCGAGCCCUGCGCUACUAUAGCCCACCCCCCACUAACGGUCCAGGCCCCAACUUUGACCUCAGAGACGGAUACCCGGAUCGAUACCAGCCCCGGGACGAGGAGGUCCAGGAAAGGCUGGACCACCUGCUGUGCUGGCUCCUGGAACACCGAGGCCGGUUGGAGGGGGGUCCAGGCUGGCUGGCAGAGGCCAUAGUGACGUGGCGGGGGCACCUGACAAAACUGCUGACGACACCGUAUGAGCGGCAGGAGGGCUGGCAGCUGGCAGCCUCCCGGUUCCAGGGAACACUAUACCUGAGUGAAGUGGAGACACCGAACGCUCGGGCCCAGAGGCUUGCUCGGCCACCGCUCCUCCGGGAGCUUAUGUACAUGGGAUACAAAUUUGAGCAGUACAUGUGUGCAGGUGAGUUGCCCCUGCUUCAUAGCCCCCUUCCCCUUCCCAGAGGUUGAGAGCCCCCCACGCCUGCUGCUGCUUCUCUCCUUGUGCAGACAAACCUGGAAGCUCCCCAGACCCCUCUGGGGAGGUUAACACCAACGUGGCCUUCUGCUCUGUGCUACGCAGCCGCCUGGGAAGCCACCCUCUGCUCUUCUCAGGGGAGGUAGACUGCACAGACCCCCAAGCCCCAUCCACACAGCCCCCAACCUGCUAUGUGGAGCUCAAGACCUCCAAGGAGAUGCACAGCCCUGGCCAAUGGAGGAGUUUCUACAGACACAAGCUCCUGAAAUGGUGGGCUCAGUCAUUCCUCCCAGGGGUCCCGAAUGUUGUUGCUGGCUUCCGUAACCCAGACGGUUUUGUCUCUUCCCUCAAGACCUUUCCUACCAUGAAGAUGUUUGAAUAUGUCAGGAAUGACCGUGACGGCUGGAAUCCCUCUGUGUGCAUGAACUUCUGUGCCGCCUUCCUUAGCUUUGCCCAGAGCACGGUUGUCCAGGAUGACCCCAGGCUCGUUCAUCUCUUCUCUUGGGAGCCUGGCGGCCCAGUCACCGUGUCUGUACACCAAGAUGCACCUUACGCCUUCCUGCCCAUAUGGUAUGUGGAAGCUAUGACUCAGGACCUCCCAUCACCCCCCAAGACUCCCUCUCCCAAAUAGUAAUGCUUUAGAGGGAGGCAGUCAUAUCUCUGUGUGCAGAUAAUAAAAGCAUAUUUCUAAGAGGUUC
RNAcentral lists this long non-coding RNA (1878 nucleotides) under Homo sapiens (human). Its description in RNAcentral is "non-protein coding lnc-DXO-3:10". Lineage: Eukaryota; Metazoa; Chordata; Mammalia; Primates; Hominidae. The record is from RNAcentral.